Molecule: ribosomal RNA, 500 nt
Filed under: uncultured Glomeromycotina
Lineage: Eukaryota; Fungi; Glomeromycota
Description: partial small subunit ribosomal RNA
Rfam family: Eukaryotic small subunit ribosomal RNA
Source: RNAcentral
CCAAUAGCGUAUAUUAAAGUUGUUGCAGUUAAAAAGCUCGUAGUUGAAUUUCGGGAUUAGCAAGUUGGUCGUGCCUUCGGUAUGCACUGGCUUUGCUGAUUCCUCCUUCUUGAAGAACUGUAAUGCUAUUAAUUUAGUGUUGCAGGGAAACAGGACUGUUACUUUGAAAAAAUUAGAGUGUUUAAAGCAGGCUAACGCUUGAAUACAUUAGCAUGGAAUAAUGAAAUAGGACGUUUGAUCCUAUUUUGUUGGUUUCUAGGAUUGACGUAAUGAUUAAUAGGGAUAGUUGGGGGCAUUAGUAUUCAAUUGUCAGAGGUGAAAUUCUUGGAUUUAUUGAAGACUAACUACUGCGAAAGCAUUUGCCAAGGAUGUUUUCAUUAAUCAAGAACGAAAGUUAGGGGAUCGAAGACGAUCAGAUACCGUCGUAGUCUUAACCAUAAACUAUGCCGACUAGGGAUCGGAUGAUGUUAAUUUUAUAAUGACUCAUUCGGCGCCUUACG